Long non-coding RNA from Marmota monax (woodchuck), 2342 nucleotides. RefSeq lists it as uncharacterized. NCBI's taxonomy places the organism in Eukaryota, Metazoa, Chordata, Mammalia, Rodentia, Sciuridae. The record is from RefSeq and is a predicted model, not a curated record. The transcript is spliced from 2 exons.
UUACUGUGCCUGCCCAAGGCUGAUACCUUGCACUGUCCAAGUAACACUGCAGAUUCUGUCAUCAAAAUCAUACCUGUAUUCUCCAUGUAUUUUUUCAACUGCAUUUUGUAUUUUAAUUUUGGUCUAUAUUAUUUUAUUUUCAUCUGAAUGAUAAACCCAUCAUGAGGGUAGAAAAGGAAGAAUUAGCCAAUCUUAGCCUGGCUCCUGCACAAGGAUUCAAAUUCAUAAAGCAUGUCACAAUAAAAAUAAAUAAGUAACAGGUACUAUCUGUGCACACACAUUUUAUGUAUAUAUUAACCAUUAAUUACCAUAGUCAUGUUGAGAGGGCAGGGUCUUGCUGAGUUGCUUUAUGCCUUGCUAAGAGGCUGAGGCUGGCUUUGAACCCAUGAUCCUCCUGCCUCAGCCUCCCAUGCUGCUGGGAUUACAGGUGUUGGCCAUUACACCCACCAAUGACCUUUAGUUUAAGUGGCACUCAGGAGUCACAGCAAAAGCUACAGAGAACCCGGAGCUAAAAUGCCAACCCCAGUCCCGCACCCUUCUAUCUCUAAAGCACAGAGGAUGGCAGGUUUUAACCUGUGGUGACGUGGCCUUAACUCAACAAGUCUGGCUGCUGGAUUGAACCCAAGGUCAAUGUGAAAGCUGUUCAGUGGCAGCAUUUGUCACCCCCUGGAGGACAGCCCAAGACACCUUCUUCCUCCACCUAGCGUGUGAAGACUCCAGCUGCAUUUCUGUGGGUACUGCAGGGGGCUCCAUGGUCACUGGUCCCCAAGAAUGAAGGAGGCUGCCAUUCCUCCUGACUCUCAAAAUGUCCACUCUAACCAGAGGAAGAAUGUCCGACAUGGGGGCCUCCAUCUUGCAAGUUACCAACCCUGUGCCAGAAGAUACUCAGAUACUGUUUUCUGCUUCUUAGGAGGAAAUCUUGCUCUGCUGCAGAGGCUGGUCUUGAACCCCUGAGCUCCAGGGAUCCUCCUGCCUCAGCCUCCUGAGUAGCUGGACCCACAGCUGGACCUGCUGGGCCCAGCUCAAACAUGGCAGCAGAUUCAAAGUCGUGCUGAGCCUACGGUAUUGCCUGCCCCUCCAGCAGUGUCUUCUGACCUCACACCACGGGCUGUGACCCUGCACCCCUGGGGCACUGGUCUUGAUUAAAUCCACGAUGCCACGCUGCACGGGAUGGAUCGUGAACUCCAGGGGAGGCGUCUGAGCCCGAGUUCAUAAUGAACGCACCAGCAAACAGACAGACAAUCUCGAAACAUCCACAGAUCAAGUCUGCCCACGCAGGAGGUCAAAAAGGUUGUAGGUGUCAAAUGGACUCAGAAUAGAUUGAUUGUGACUCUGAGGGAACUUGUUGUGAUGUCCAUCAGGCAGGCCCAUAGGAAAGCCCUUCCUCCACCAUCUCCCAGGGCCACUUACUGUUGGAUGGACUGACACAAAGGUACAUCUCAAGUCACAGAAAAGAACUAUCAUCUGAUCCCGUGAAUGCCCACGUCUGGCUGUGUGUGGUUGGACUCUCCUGCCAGGCGUCUGAGACCAAGUUGGACCAUUUUCCUAUCUACUCUGAGAUUUGUGGGGUAUCACUCUUGGGAACCUGGGAGAACCCUCUUGGCCCCUUUCGCUGUUUCUCUACGAGUUGGGCCAUGUGACAGGAUGGGUCAGAGUCUUGCUGAACAACUGUUGCUUCUCUUGAUGUAUCCAAAAAUAUUUCCCUGUCCACUCAGUGACCCUCCUCUGUGCAGAAUGUGCUCUGGCUGGAUUCUGUUUUCUGAGGUCCUUUCAAUCCCUCUGAACACGCUUUUGGGUGCCUCACACCAGUGCUGUAGGGACCUGAGAGGGACACCAUAUCUCCCUGGAUCCUGGCUGACCCCAGAGAGCCAGGGCCCAAAUAUUGGCUUCUAUUUCCUUGACCCUUUUACUUCCUUAACUUUGGUCUCCAGGAUUUGGUUUUAAACAUCGAGCAAGUCAGUUUCUGCAGUCUUGAAGUGGGAGUCCUGGGUUUGCAUUUCAGUGCAUAUCAUUUUAUAGUGACCCCUUCAACUUAAUCAGGGUCAUUGUUAAUACUGAAAGUGGGUUGUAUCUUCUAUCUAAAGGCUAAUUGACUCCACUGAACUCAGGUGUUCUUUUAGAUGCAGUGUUUCUGCAAAAACACCAAACAGGCUACAGCUACAAAGUUUUACAAAGAAAAUACAGAAUGAAAUUAAAAAGAGUAAAAGUGUGUUCAGUUGGUAUAGUAGCUAUGAACCCAAAAAUGCAUUUUAUCCAAAUCUUUUAUGAGUCCCAUAUUAUAUCCCUGGUUCUUUUUUUUUACAUGACAGGAAUCUUUACAAUAAAAAAAUGUAUCUUGUGAA